Molecule: ribosomal RNA, 356 nt
Filed under: uncultured Glomeraceae
Lineage: Eukaryota; Fungi; Glomeromycota; Glomeromycetes; Glomerales; Glomeraceae
Description: SSU rRNA
Rfam family: Eukaryotic small subunit ribosomal RNA
Source: RNAcentral
AGCAGCCGCGGUAAUUCCAGCUCCAAUAGCGUAUAUUAAAGUUGUUGCAGUUAAAAAGCUCGUAGUUGAGUUUCGGGGUCAGUAGAUUGGUCGUGCCACUGGUAUGUACUGGUCUCACUGGCUCCUCCUUCCUGAUGAACCGUAAUGCCAUUAAUUUGGUGUUGCGGGGAGACUGGACUGUUACUUUGAAAAAAUUAGAGUGUUUAAAGCAGGCUAACGCUUGAAUACAUUAGCAUGGAAUAAUGAAAUAGGACGUUCGAUCUUAUUUUGUUGGUUUCUAAGAUUGACGUAAUGAUUAAUAGGGAUAGUUGGGGGCAUUAGUAUUCAAUUGUCAGAGGUGAAAUUCUUGGAUUUAU